AGAGUUUGAUCCUGGCUCAGGAUGAACGCUGGCGGUCUGCUUAACACAUGCAAGUCGAACGGGGUGCUUCGGCACCUAGUGGCGGACGGGUGAGUAACGCGUGAGGAUCUGCCUUCAGGACGGGGACAACAGUUGGAAACGACUGCUAACACCCGAUGUGCCGAGAGGUGAAAUAUUUAUAGCCUGGAGAUGAGCUCGCGUCUGAUUAGCUAGUUGGUAAGGUAACGGCUUACCAAGGCGACGAUCAGUAGCUGGUCUGAGAGGAUGAUCAGCCACACUGGGACUGAGACACGGCCCAGACUCCUACGGGAGGCAGCAGUGGGGAAUUUUCCGCAAUGGGCGCAAGCCUGACGGAGCAAGACCGCGUGAGGGAGGAAGGUCUGUGGAUUGUAAACCUCUUUUCUCAGGGAAGAAGUUCUGACGGUACCUGAGGAAUCAGCAUCGGCUAACUCCGUGCCAGCCGCCGCGGUAAUUC
RNAcentral lists this ribosomal RNA (475 nucleotides) under uncultured bacterium. RNAcentral describes it as "bacterial SSU rRNA". It matches the Rfam family "Bacterial small subunit ribosomal RNA", at positions 8 to 526 of the family's 1533-position model. The record is from RNAcentral.